GAUGAAGAACGUAGCAAAAUGCGAUACUUGGUGUGAAUUGCAGAAUCCCGUGAACCAUCGAGUUUUUGAACGCAAGUUGCGCCCGAAGCCUUUUGGCCGAGGGCACGUCUGCCUGGGCGUCACGCAUCGCGUCGCCCCCUCCCACAAUUCUCCGCAAAGGGAAUUUGUGUUUUGGGGGCGGAUAUUGGUCUCCCGUGCUCAUGGCGUGGUUGGCCGAAAUAGGAGUCCCUUCGAUGGACGCACGAACUAGUGGUGGUCGUAAAAACCUCUUUUGUUUCGUGCCGUUAGUCGCGAGGGAAACUCUUAGAAAACCCCAGCGUGUCGUCUUUUGACGGCGCUUCGACCGCGACCCCAGGUCAGGCGGGACUACCCGCUGAGUUUAAGCAUAUCAAUAAGCGGAGGA
This 403-nucleotide unclassified non-coding RNA is filed under the name soil metagenome. RNAcentral describes it as "partial contains 5.8S ribosomal RNA, internal transcribed spacer 2, and large subunit ribosomal RNA". The stretch from base 1 to 122 matches the Rfam family "5.8S ribosomal RNA", at positions 35 to 154 of the family's 154-position model. The record is from RNAcentral.